UACGUAGGGAGCAAGCGUUGUUCGGAUUUACUGGGCGUAAAGCGCGCGUAGGCGGACCUGCAAGUCGGGGGUGAAAGCCCGAGGCUCAACCUCGGAACUGCCUUCGAUACUGCGGGUCUCGAGUCCGGAAGAGGUGAGUGGAAUUCCUAGUGUAGAGGUGAAAUUCGUAGAUAUUAGGAAGAACACCAGUGGCGAAGGCGGCUCACUGGCCCGGUACUGACGCUGAGGCGCGAAAGCGUGGGGAGCAAACAGG
This 253-nucleotide ribosomal RNA is filed under the name uncultured bacterium. Its description in RNAcentral is "partial 16S ribosomal RNA". It matches the Rfam family "Bacterial small subunit ribosomal RNA", at positions 524 to 776 of the family's 1533-position model. The record is from RNAcentral.